Molecule: long non-coding RNA, 1220 nt
Filed under: Vitis vinifera (wine grape)
Lineage: Eukaryota; Viridiplantae; Streptophyta; Magnoliopsida; Vitales; Vitaceae
Description: long non-coding RNA (VVIN_LNC000914)
Source: RNAcentral
AGGGGAGUUGGGUGUGGUGAAGGAGGGGAAGAAGAGGGACUUGAAGGAGAUUAUCACCUCUUUACUGCUGUUGGAAGAGCAGCAGAAGCGUGAUCAGGAGGAGUUCGACAGGACUCUGGAGGAGGAGAAGAUGGUGUUUGAAGAGAAUCAUAAGAAGAAGACCAGAGCCAUGAUGGACUACUAUUCAAAUCUCCAGGACUACUACAAUGAAUUGGAUGAUAUGGAUCAAGCUAGGAGGAAACGCUGCAAUUCAGCCUCUGCCACCACUGCCGCUGCCGCCGGUGCUGCCGGAGCCGCUUCUCUUGAGUUUUCAGACAGUUCAGUCAAGCCUGGGAGUGGUGCAAGAAGGUUAUGGGUGAAGGACAGGUCCAAAGCUUGGUGGGAUGAAUGCAACAAGCCAGAGUUUCCAGAGGAGGAGUUCAGAAAGGCCUUUAGGAUGAGCAGAGCAACAUUUGAUAUGAUAUGUGAUGAGCUCAAUUCAGUGGUUGCAAAGGAGGAUACCAUGUUGAGAGCUGCAAUUCCUGUGAGGCAAAGAGUGGCUGUUUGUAUAUGGAGGUUAGCGACUGGUGAGCCUCUAAGGCUUGUGUCAAAGAAGUUCGGUUUAGGUAUAUCCACUUGCCAUAAGCUUGUUCUUGAGGUUUGUUCUGCUAUAAGGACUGUUUUGAUGCCCAAGUAUCUGCAGUGGCCAGAUGAGGAGACAUUGAGGAGGAUGAAGGAUGAGUUUGAAUCAAUUUCAGGGAUACCCAAUGUUGUUGGCUCUAUGUAUACCACCCAUAUCCCAAUCAUAGCCCCAAAGAUCAGUGUGGCAGCCUAUUUCAAUAGGAGGCAUACAGAGAGGAACCAGAAGACUUCUUACUCCAUUACAGUUCAGGGUGUUGUUGAUCCAAAAGGGGUGUUUACUGAUGUAUGCAUUGGGUGGCCUGGUUCCAUGCCUGAUGAUCAGGUGUUGGAGAAAUCUGCCCUUUAUCAGAGGGCUAAUGGGGGGCUUUUGAAGGGCGUUUGGAUUGUUGGAGGUUCAGGGUACCCUCUAAUGGAUUGGGUGAUGGUGCCUUACACUCAGCAGAAUCUCACCUGGACACAGCAUGCAUUCAAUGAGAAAAUUGGGGAGAUUCAGAGGGUUUCUAGGGAGGCAUUUGCGCGGUUGAAAGCGCGGUGGUGUUGUCUGCAGAAGAGAACAGAGGUGAAACUCCAGGACCUCCCUGUGGUUCUUGGGGCCUGCU